Molecule: long non-coding RNA, 4175 nt
Filed under: Homo sapiens (human)
Lineage: Eukaryota; Metazoa; Chordata; Mammalia; Primates; Hominidae
Description: HSALNT0327705
Source: RNAcentral
GUGAGCCGAGAUCACGCCACUGCACUCCAGCCUGGGCGACAGAGUGAGACUCUGUCUCAAAAAAAAAAAGUCACGAGAACUGUCUGGAAAUGUGAGCAAUUUCAAGCGAGAGAUUAGUUGUUUUACAAAGUUCAUUAAAAUAUGCAUCAACCAUUCUUCAUCUCUUUGAAUAAAGGUAGGACACUAUGUAAUUUUAUGUAGAUUUCUUCCAGCUGAUAUUAAAUUUUGAAUGCAGAACUAAAUGAAUUUGUUUGUGUUGUCAGCUUUGGAUACCUGAUGUUAUAAAACUGCAGUUCUAAUUGGAAAUGUGAUUCUGAUAUACUCCCUUUAGGAGUUUGACUGUUUUACUUACUUUAUGAAGCAAGAAAUAAUAAUAAAAUUUUAGCUCUCAUAAUCAAGAGCCAUUUGAAUACUCAUAAAUUAAAAAUAUUUAGAUGUCAAGACAGUAAAGCCUAUGACAUGAAAAGGACCAGAUAACUAGUUAAAUGAAUUUCCAUGGGUCAAGUUGCACAAGUAACAUAGUCUAGAAGUGUGGAUUAAUUUUCACUCCGAUAACGCGUUAUCUUGCUUAAAUGUGAUUAAAAAUCCCCACUGGGUUCUAUGUUAAUCUUUCCUCCAAAGAUUUGGAUCUUAUCAAGUUUGGGAGCUACUUUGGAAGUAGAGAGUGCUCUCCAAAAGAACUCUCAAGAGGCAGUAUCAGUUUUUACAAUCUACUCUGGGGUAAUGAGAGAGUGGUUGAGUUUACAUAGAUUAUCACUUAUGGCUGCCUCCCUGGCUUGACAUUGUACAGGGGGAGAGCUCAAAGCUCAGUGAGGCUCAGACGAGGUCAGACACAGAGAAAUUUGGAGACCAUUUUUAGUGAUUUGACUUAAGAUGCUUUAGGUUUUGUUUUGUUUGUAUUAUCUUCUUUUAAUGCCUCAAAAAUUUCCCUCUCUAUAACGAGCCUUUGCUCUAAAAAAUUCCCUAUGUAAUUUAUUUAGCAAACAUGCAUUGAGUGUCUGUCAUGUGCCAAUUACUAUGCUGGGGGCUGGGGAUGUAGCAGUGAAUGAGGACAAUGAAAUGCUUGCCCUUCUAGGACUGACAGUGGCGAAGAGGUUAGCAUUAACUAGACAAUACACAAGAGCAAUAAGGGCCCUGAAAAUAUCUUUCUUCCUUAAAUACUGUCUUUCACUCCAUUCUUCUCUUAUGGGACUUAAAGGAUAUGUUCAAGUUCUCCUGUUACUUUAUAUUUGAAUACAAUGAACAUUCAUUUAUUGAUUCAUUUACUCUCUUCUUUCAAUAAGUAUAAAUUGACUAAGUCAUCUUUCUAACAAUUGAAUAAUAGUAAGAUUCAUUAGUCCUGCCCUCAAGCAUCCUAUGGCCUAGGGUGGGAGAUAAUAUAUGUAUAUACAUCAUGAUGAUUUUGCCACUCCAUACAGUUAUGAAAAUACAGAUAAAAGGUUAUUUCCAAUUAACAGAGUCAGGAAAGCCUCCCUGGAUGAAGAAGCUGUAAACUGGGCCUUAUGAUUAGAGCGGUUAUAUGCAUAUGGCAAAAGGAGAGAAGCUAUUCCAGGUAAAAGCCACAAAAAUAAAGGCAGAAAGUUGGGAAUUCAGAAUCAACAAAGGAGCAGCAACCAUUCAGUCUGGCUGACUUCUCAUCUCAUUUUUGAUAGAGUGGGUUAGGGAUGAGGUAGAGGUAUGGAAAGAAAAGAGGAUAGUUAUAAGUGACUAAUAAAUGUUUGUUGCCAAGGACCACCACAGAAUCCUCAUUAUUUGGAAGCUCCUUUAUGGAAUAUGCUUUGAAAUUUAGGGUGUUCUACAACUACCCCACCACACAGGGCUAGUCCUGUAAGUUUCAAUUAUCUGAAGUUAUUCUAGUUACACAGGAAUGCACAAUAUUAAAAUUAACAGAUAUUGAGGCCAAAUAAUCAACAAUAGCUGGAAGCAUGUACCUUGGAAAGAUAUGUCCUCAUUUUGAAAUUGAAUCCCAGACAAAACUCCUGGAAUUUCAGGUUUGGUUACAAAUAUUGAACUUGUAUGAAGUUCACCGAAGUUCAUUUCCAUGGAGCCUGGAGUGAGUUAGGCAUAAAUCAUAACCAGCCGAGGUGGAAGCCCAUAUGCAUACAUUCAUAGGUACAGACAGACAAACCCCAGUCCUUCAUAGCUUCAGAUGGAAACCAUAUGAAAUGUCAUGGCCUUGCACAGCUUCAGCCAGAAGCCUGGGCAGCUCUGUGCCUUCCGCUGGGGCUCUCUCAGUGGUUUUAUUUCCGAUUGAUCCUGAGUGUAUAGCAGGGUGCCCAACCUGCCCAUGGAAACUAAGAAGCUUGAGGAAAUAGCUGGGUCGAAACUAUGAAACUGUGCUCACUGUUCAAACCUAUGUUCUGUAAAAUUUACAACAGAUUCAGUCACCUCACAUUUCCAUGUAAAUUACUGCUCGAGAGGGAAGCUUGUCUUGCUGGGGCUUCCACUGUUGAAUUUUUAAAAUUGACAACACCUUCUGUUCCUAGCUGGAAUUAUGAGACAAAGAAAAAAGAGAACGAGAGGGAGAAAAUGUUCUAUCUUACUUCAACAGGCUCCGUUUUAUUGCAGUGCCAAAAUUUUUGAUCCACUGCAACAAACCAGAGACGACUUAACCAGGAUGACAAGGGUAUUACAAACUAGAAACUAGAGGAGUUUCACCUGAAAAUUGGGAGAUUUUGAGCAAAAACCUAGAGAUUAAAAAAUGGAGUCACAUGGCUAAGCAAGAUGUAUUAUUUAUUCAGUCCAAAGAAAUGCUAUGUUACAUCUGGAUUCAAGGGACUUUGCAGUAAUUCCAAGAGGUAGAAUGUAAGUCCCUGGGGGAAAGAGUCUCCAUGUGUGUUCAGUGUUUUGUGUGUGAUGAAACCUAUAUGUGUUUUCAUUUUCUUUCCUCUAAGAAACUUUUAUAUACAUAUUAACAGUUGCAGAGCGUUAAUGGGAGAAGAGAAAUGAGCAUAAAGUAAAAUGCUAGUAGCAAUGAUUAAUGCAACACUUAUUGUGGCCAAGAAUUUUACAUUUGUUAUCUCAUUUAAGUUUCAUGAAAAUCUCCAUUUACAGAGAAGAAAACUGAGACUGAAACUACCUUGCUCAAGCUCAUCGAGCUAGUAAGUGGAGGAAUUAGGGAUGUGAAACAAGGUCUGGAUGCCUCUGGGGCCCAUGCCCUAAACUAUGAUGUCAUAUCACCUUAGAAUACUAAAUCAGGCUGGGAGUGCUCAGAAGAAUUCAGAGCUUCUGAAUUUCAGACUGGUCCACACUUGACUCAUCUGGCUAUUUAAAGUGAAUGUAGCUUCAGAAUUAGGGAACUUGAUAUCGUGAACCCCCUGCAAAUCCGCAGCAGAGCAGAGAUGCCUAGAUUCUUAAUCCAACUCUGUCAUUUACUGACAAUGUAAAUGACAGGGUUUGGCUGUGUCCCCACCCAAAUCUCAUCUUGAAUUCCCAUAUGUUGUGAAAGGAACCUGGUUGGAGGUAAUUGAGUCAUGGGGGCAGGUCUUUCCCAUGCUAUUCUUGUGAUAGUGAGUAAGGCUCACGAGAUCUGAUGGUUACUGUAAGGGGGAGUUUUCCUGCACAAGCUCUCUUCUCUUGUCUGCCACCAUAUGAGAUGUGCCUUUAACCUUCUUCCAUGAUUGUGAGGCCUCCCCAGCCACGAGGAACUGUAAGUCCAAUAAACUCCUUUCUUUUGUAAAUUGCCCAGUCUUGGGUAUGUCUUUAUGAGCAGUGUGAAAAUGGACUAAUACAGUAACCUUGUAUAUCUUAUUAACCUUCUCCAAGCCCCUAUUUCUAUUUCAUUAGCAUUGGAAGAAUAAAAUCUUCACUGUUUAUGUAAUUGGUUUUGAGAAGUAAGCCAAACUGCAUAUACUAUAAAGUACAAAACAAUAGUAUAUAUUGUGAUUAUUUUGUGAUUUUCUCAAGUAUUCUGCUUUUCCAUGGAAAUAAUAAAUUGUAAUAAUGAUGGACAUCUAUUAUUGUUGCUGUUAUUAUUGCUAAUCCUACAUAAAGUAACAGGAUUGACUAUAUAUUAAUUACGGAGGGAAUAAGAAAAAGGAAAAAAUGUUCCAGGGUUCAUGGUCAUUUUGGGAAACUUGAUAAUUUAGUACUGGAAUAAGACUUUAGGACUGAUCUUGGCAGGAUAGCCAAAGGGCUCUGCCACCAUGAAACUUAGAAAACUCCAUUUUGGCCGG